Molecule: long non-coding RNA, 1528 nt
Organism: Capra hircus (goat)
Lineage: Eukaryota; Metazoa; Chordata; Mammalia; Artiodactyla; Bovidae
Exons: 3
Source: RefSeq, a predicted model, not a curated record
CGCAUCAGCACCGGUUGAGGGGUGGACUGGGGGUGCGCACGCUGCAAAUCGAGACUUCCCUAAACCGCGCCCGGGUCAGGGGGGCGCGAGGGACAAGUGCGGCGACCCUCGAGGCGCCUCCAACUUUCCUAAUGUCCCGCUGGGAUGCCCUGGAGAGCACGUUUCCAUCAUCCUUUCCAAGGUGGUCCAAGGGUCAGGGACCGGGGCGGGGUCGGGAGCAGUUGCUCUGAGGUUUCUGGAAUAGACCUUCGCUUCCAGGAGAAACGCCGCUGCUUUCUCCAGAGACACACGUUAGUUGCAGACUGAGAUGUUUGUUUUAAGACUCUUCUGUUGGAAAACUAACACACGUAUGUUAAAUGUGUAGUGCACGAAUACGUUGCUGCGUACAAAGCUGAGCCAUAUCUAGAGAAUAAAGACGACCACGCCACGUCCCCUCCACCUUGCAGCCGCUCCCCAGCGGUCACCUCGGGUCGGGUGUGCUCCGCUGCGGGUCUUUCUACUCCUUGCUCUGCCCUUUUACCCGCACACGCGCGGAUUGCAAGUGGAUUCUCACGGGCUUUUCAAAAGAAAUGUUUUACCGCGCGGCACACGCACACACUGGCGAAAACACGGCCACUUGAGCUGCGAUAAAUUCCCCAGAGGCGUGCGGAAUCCGGAGAAAGAUCCGGAUCCCUGCAGCGACACACAAGGAGCCACCCCAUUGCCCCGCAAAAUCUGAAACUGCAGCUGGGCCCUGAAGUCAGCCUGAGCACACAGCUCACGCCCCUGUUAGCGUUGCGCGGCUGGAGAAAUUGGCCAGCGCAUUUCAGACGGGGUGAUGCCCUUGGCGUUUUUGUUGUUGUUGUUGUUUUUUUUAACAGAAAACAAGCUGUCUUUGGAUUUGGAUGUGAUGAGACCUCUGGAUUUGCAAAAUAAAAAGGGGAUCUUCCUGGCCCAGGGAUCAAACCCCGGUCUCCUACAUUGCAGGCGGAUUCUUUAUCAUCUGAGACACCACUGUAAGGACCAAAGUUUAAGCUGGAAACAUCAAUGCUCACAACUCCGCGGAGCAAGCUUGGGCCCUCCAUUCGGCAGCACUGCCAAGGCUGGUGGAGAAGUGCGUAGUGCUGUCACUCCAGCCACAGGCACUUGGUGUUCACGGAGCAAGAUCUGCUGAUGGGAUGUUGUUCUAGUAGGUUUUGGAAGGCUUUGUCAGUUCGUGAACCAAGGGGAAGGGCAGGGAGAUUGCUGGGUUCCUUUAAAUAUUUGGAUGUGCUUCCCAGGAAGCAACCGAGUCACAGCCAUCCCUGGGGCUCUUAGGAUGGCGUUCAAAUUUGGACCCUUUGGAGAGGAGCUCCUUGACUGAUAUAAAUAAAUUCUCAUUGAUCAACUGGGGUUUUCACCUCGCUCCCUGACUAACCAACAUCUUUAGUAAAAUGAUUCAUUAACCUGUGAAAGCCAGAUCUCUUGAUCCCCAGAAUCUGGUCCUCUUGGAAUAAAGUAAUUUAAAAAUCUAUUUCUUUUUCAGCUGAAUUAAUAUUAGAUUUCACGA